RNAcentral lists this transfer RNA (88 nucleotides) under Tannerellaceae bacterium. RNAcentral's name for it is "tRNA-Ser". It matches the Rfam family "tRNA". Rfam says of the family: Transfer RNA (tRNA) molecules are approximately 80 nucleotides in length. Their secondary structure includes four short double-helical elements and three loops (D, anti-codon, and T loops). Lineage: Bacteria; Pseudomonadati; Bacteroidota; Bacteroidia; Bacteroidales; Tannerellaceae. The record is from RNAcentral.
GGAAGGGUGCUCGAGUGGCUUAAGAGGCACGCUUGGAAAGCGUGUGUGCGCCAAAAGUGUACCGCGGGUUCGAAUCCCGCCCCUUCCG